CUACGGAGGGUGCAAGCGUUACUCGGAAUCACUGGGCGUAAAGCGCGCGCAGGCGGCUAUUUAAGUUGGAUGUGAAAGCCUAUGGCUCAACCAUAGAACUGCAUCCAAAACUAUUUAGCUAGAGUGUGGGAGAGGAAGAUGGAAUUAGUUGUGUAGGGGUAAAAUCCGUAGAGAUAACUAGGAAUACCAAAAGCGAAGGCAAUCUUCUGGAACACUACUGACGCUGAGGCGCGAAAGCGAGGGGAGCAAACAGGAUUAGAUACCCUAGUAGUCC
RNAcentral lists this ribosomal RNA (274 nucleotides) under uncultured bacterium. Its description in RNAcentral is "partial 16S ribosomal RNA". It matches the Rfam family "Bacterial small subunit ribosomal RNA", at positions 523 to 796 of the family's 1533-position model. The record is from RNAcentral.